RNAcentral lists this non-coding RNA (30 nucleotides) under Mus musculus (house mouse). Lineage: Eukaryota; Metazoa; Chordata; Mammalia; Rodentia; Muridae. The record is from RNAcentral.
GAUCUUAAAAUAAUGAUUGUUGCAAAAGAU